This 401-nucleotide ribosomal RNA is filed under the name Otala (Dupotetia) sp. MVHN 2171. RNAcentral's name for it is "partial 16S ribosomal RNA". It matches the Rfam family "Archaeal large subunit ribosomal RNA", at positions 1949 to 2689 of the family's 2987-position model. The record is from RNAcentral. Lineage: Eukaryota; Metazoa; Mollusca; Gastropoda; Stylommatophora; Helicidae.
UUCUGCUCAAUGGUACGUUAAAUAGCCGCAGUACUCUGACUGUGCAAAGGUAGCAUAAUCAAUUGGCUUUUAAUUAAAGUCUGGGAUGAAAGAAAGCAUGGGUGGCAACUGUCUUACUGUUAUAUUAAAUUGAAGUUAGUAAGCAAGUGAAAAUACUUGCAAUUUAAAAAAGACGAGAAGACCCUAGAAACUUAUGUAAUUAUUUUGUUGGGGCGACAGAAUUACAAAUAACUAAUUUUAUUGUACAUGACGUUAUCAGAUAGAUUAAGUUACUCUAGGGAUAACAGCAUAAUUUUUAAAGUUUGUGACCUCGAUGUUGGACUAGGUAAAUAAUUUUUUAGAAGAAAGUUUAAACGCUCUGUUCGAGCAAUGAAACCUACGUGAUCUGAGUUCAGACCGGA